GGUUCAUUCAAAUUUCUGCCCUAUCAACUUUCGAUGGUAGGAUAGUGGCCUACCAUGGUUUCAACGGGUAACGGGGAAUUAGGGUUCUAUUCCGGAGAGGGAGCCUGAGAAACGGCUACCACAUCCAAGGAAGGCAGCAGGCGCGCAAAUUACCCAAUCCCGACCGGGGAGGUAGUGACAAUAAAUACUGAUACAGGGCUCUUUAGGGUCUUGUAAUUGGAAUGAGUACAAUUUAAAUCCCUUAACGAGGAACAAUUGGAGGGCAAGUCUGGUGCCAGCAGCCGCGGUAAUUCCAGCUCCAAUAGCGUAUAUUAAAGUUGUUGCAGUUAAAAAGCUCGUAGUUG
Molecule: ribosomal RNA, 344 nt
Filed under: uncultured fungus
Lineage: Eukaryota; Fungi
Description: SSU rRNA
Rfam family: Eukaryotic small subunit ribosomal RNA
Source: RNAcentral